GAACGCUGGCGGCGUGCCUAAUACAUGCAAGUCGAGCGAACGGACGAGAAGCUUGCUUCUCUGAUGUUAGCGGCGGACGGGUGAGUAACACGUGGAUAACCUACCUAUAAGACUGGGAUAACUUCGGGAAACCGGAGCUAAUACCGGAUAAUAUUUUGAACCGCAUGGUUCAAAAGUGAAAGACGGUCUUGCUGUCACUUAUAGAUGGAUCCGCGCUGCAUUAGCUAGUUGGUAAGGUAACGGCUUACCAAGGCAACGAUGCAUAGCCGACCUGAGAGGGUGAUCGGCCACACUGGAACUGAGACACGGUCCAGACUCCUACGGGAGGCAGCAGUAGGGAAUCUUCCGCAAUGGGCGAAAGCCUGACGGAGCAACGCCGCGUGAGUGAUGAAGGUCUUCGGAUCGUAAAACUCUGUUAUUAGGGAAGAACAUAUGUGUAAGUAACUGUGCACAUCUUGACGGUACCUAAUCAGAAAGCCACGGCUAACUACGUGCCAGCAGCCGCGGUAAUACGUAGGUGGCAAGCGUUAUCCGGAAUUAUUGGGCGUAAAGCGCGCGUAGGCGGUUUUUUAAGUCUGAUGUGAAAGCCCACGGCUCAACCGUGGAGGGUCAUUGGAAACUGGAAAACUUGAGUGCAGAAGAGGAAAGUGGAAUUCCAUGUGUAGCGGUGAAAUGCGCAGAGAUAUGGAGGAACACCAGUGGCGAAGGCGACUUUCUGGUCUGUAACUGACGCUGAUGUGCGAAAGCGUGGGGAUCAAACAGGAUUAGAUACCCUGGUAGUCCACGCCGUAAACGAUGAGUGCUAAGUGUUAGGGGGUUUCCGCCCCUUAGUGCUGCAGCUAACGCAUUAAGCACUCCGCCUGGGGAGUACGACCGCAAGGUUGAAACUCAAAGGAAUUGACGGGGACCCGCACAAGCGGUGGAGCAUGUGGUUUAAUUCGAAGCAACGCGAAGAACCUUACCAAAUCUUGACAUCCUUUGACAACUCUAGAGAUAGAGCCUUCCCCUUCGGGGGACAAAGUGACAGGUGGUGCAUGGUUGUCGUCAGCUCGUGUCGUGAGAUGUUGGGUUAAGUCCCGCAACGAGCGCAACCCUUAAGCUUAGUUGCCAUCAUUAAGUUGGGCACUCUAAGUUGACUGCCGGUGACAAACCGGAGGAAGGUGGGGAUGACGUCAAAUCAUCAUGCCCCUUAUGAUUUGGGCUACACACGUGCUACAAUGGACAAUACAAAGGGCAGCGAAACCGCGAGGUCAAGCAAAUCCCAUAAAGUUGUUCUCAGUUCGGAUUGUAGUCUGCAACUCGACUACAUGAAGCUGGAAUCGCUAGUAAUCGUAGAUCAGCAUGCUACGGUGAAUACGUUCCC
RNAcentral lists this ribosomal RNA (1363 nucleotides) under Staphylococcus aureus. RNAcentral describes it as "bacterial SSU rRNA". It matches the Rfam family "Bacterial small subunit ribosomal RNA", at positions 31 to 1375 of the family's 1533-position model. The record is from RNAcentral. Lineage: Bacteria; Bacillati; Bacillota; Bacilli; Caryophanales; Staphylococcaceae.